UGGGGAAUCUUGCACAAUGGGGGAAACCCUGAUGCAGCGACGCCGCGUGAACGAUGAAGCCCUUCGGGGUGUAAAGUUCUUUCGACAGGAACGAUAAUGACGGUACCUGGAGAAGAAGCUGCGGCUAACUACGUGCCAGCAGCCGCGGUAAUACGUAGGCAGCGAGCGUUGUUCGGAGUUACUGGGCGUAAAGAGUGCGUAGGCGGCGAGCCAAGUUUGGUGUGAAAUCUCCCGGCUUAACCGGGAGGGUGCGCCGAAAACUGGUUGGCUGGAGUAUGGGAGAGGAAAGCGGAAUUCCUGGUGUAGCGGUGAAAUGCGUAGAUAUUAGGAGGAACACCUGCGGUGUAGACAGCUUUCUGGACCAAAACUGACGCUGAGGCACGAAAGCGUGGGUAGCAAACA
Molecule: ribosomal RNA, 402 nt
Filed under: uncultured bacterium
Lineage: Bacteria
Description: bacterial SSU rRNA
Rfam family: Bacterial small subunit ribosomal RNA
Source: RNAcentral